Molecule: long non-coding RNA, 238 nt
Filed under: Elaeis guineensis (African oil palm)
Lineage: Eukaryota; Viridiplantae; Streptophyta; Magnoliopsida; Arecales; Arecaceae
Description: long non-coding RNA (EGUI_LNC070175)
Source: RNAcentral
AGUCGCACUGAUGCCUGUGGUUGCUGCUGCUAUUGUAUGGCCUGCACAGCUUCAAUGAGGCCUCUGACCUACUGCACCAGUAGGUCGAAUUGCUCCGUGCCAACCGCCGUUACCAGAGGAGGGGGAGGAGGCUGGGAAACUGGAGGUGAGGCCGGAGCUUGAGAUUUGGCUGUGGAGGCCAUGGAUCGUCGCGUGGAUGCUUUACGGGGAGGCAUCAGGUGAAGACCUAGUGGGGGAA